GGUGAGGUGGCAGAGCCCGGCUAUGCACACGACUGCAGAUCGUGACCACGGGAGUUCGAAUCUCUCCCUCACCACCA
This 77-nucleotide transfer RNA is filed under the name Marine Group III euryarchaeote CG-Epi3. Its description in RNAcentral is "tRNA-Cys". It matches the Rfam family "tRNA". From Rfam's summary of the family: Transfer RNA (tRNA) molecules are approximately 80 nucleotides in length. The record is from RNAcentral. RNAcentral also lists the same sequence under 7 other names. Lineage: Archaea; Methanobacteriati; Thermoplasmatota; Thermoplasmata; Candidatus Thermoprofundales.